GGUUGCGAUCAUACCAGCACUAAUGCACCAGAUCCCAUCUGGACUGGAUAGUUAAGCGUGCUUGGGUGAGAGUAGUAGUAGGAUGGGUGACCCCCUGGGAAGUCCUCGUGUUGCAACUC
Molecule: ribosomal RNA, 119 nt
Filed under: Helianthus annuus (common sunflower)
Lineage: Eukaryota; Viridiplantae; Streptophyta; Magnoliopsida; Asterales; Asteraceae
Source: RNAcentral